UUUUUUUUUUGUCUUUUUGCCAUUUCUUGGGCCACUCCCACAGCAUAUAGAGGUUCCCAGGCUAGGGGUCGAAUCGGAGCUGUAGUUGCCAGCCUACAUCAGAACCACAGCAACACGGGAUCCGAGCCACAUCUGCGACCUACACCACAGCUCAUGGCAAUGCCGGAUCCUUAACCCACUGAGCAAAGGCAGGGAUCGAACCUGCAACCUCAUGGUUCCUAGUUGGAUUCGUUAACCACUACGCCACGACGGGAACUCCUGUCCAGGGUUCUUGGCCUCCUUAAUAGAAAUUGAUAAGAGGCUAGUCAGGGAAAUUCAGGCAAGGUUUUAUUAUAGGUCCCCUGUUGCAGCAGGGGAGGGGGGAUAAAAAAGCAACAGGUCCCUUUCCUCACUCUCUAAGGUGGGUGUGAACAGGUUCCUUAUAUGAGGUGAGGGUAAGAGGUCCAGAAGUCAGGCCAGAGGAGUGGCUUAGGUAGUUUGCCCACCCUUUUGGUGGUACUGUGUGCAGGGGGCAUGCACAGUACUCUGGCUUUUGCUUUUGACACCCUGCUUUUGCUUUCAGCUCUUCAAAAGUGGCCAUUGUUUUUAUAGUUUUUUUGUAUCUUGUUGUCUACAACUUUCCCCAACUACCAGGUACAGUUAUUUUCAGUCCCUUAUAUAGUUACUUUGUAUUUUAUUGCUCAAGGGGUUGCUUGUCCUGAUGCAAGCACUGCAGCAACUGCAGCGAAGGGUCUCAGGUCCCAGCCUGUCUCACUACCAUCUUUCCACGUCCUUGCAUCACAAAGGCUGGUUGUUCCCACCCUCUGGUCCCUGCUCUUUAGAUGGGGAAGCAACCAGUUGGUACCUGCCCUAUGUUCCAUAGGAAAGCGAAACCUAUUGGGAGACAAUUUAAGAAAAGACUAUGGUUUUAAUCUUGAUACAAAUAUUUAAGGGGAAAAAAAACCCCACAACAUCAGAGGCAACUUGAGUGUUUUGAAAGUAAAAUAGUUGGUUUACAUACACAGGGCCCCUUUCUAUAGACAUCUGGCAACAUGCUAUGUGCUUUAUCAACACCAAAAGAGCAGAAAUGAUUUUUAACUCAGCUACAUGGACAGCCUUAUAAACAGACAAAAAAGCCCCACAAUCAUUGCUAUCUAUACCUGAAACCUAUAAGAACUGAGAAAUCAAGGUGUAUAUUCUCCUCUACAAGUUAAACUUGGAAAACUGGAGAUGUGUAAAGUGACUUAAAGGAUACAGGAUGACUUCUACGUGAAGAAGGGAGCCCACUGGGCAAUUUGAAGCAUAGAAGAUAGAGGCAACUGCGGUUUCUCACAGGCCAAGUGCUUUGCUAAACCAUUUGCUCACCAUGUUCAUUUACAGGAAACUUGGAGCACAGUGAGGCAAGUAACUGACCCAAGGUCACAGGAGCAAUCCCAGGAGGCCCAACCAAGCACCAUGUAAGGAUCUGGUCCUGGUGGCUGAUCCCACUCAUCAGUGAAUUGAUGUAAUCAACCAUCUCAGCCUCCUGCCACUGAAUAUUUAAAUCACAUAUUUCACUUAUCCUGGAUGGCUGCAGCUUCACUGGGCAACCAGCUGACUACAAUUUGUCUUCAUGCCUCCAGGGACAUAAUGGGUUGCCUGGUGAAAUGUGUCUACCCCUUAGCAAGUGGCGCUUGCUGUAUGUUCAUCAAUCGGCUUUCUGGUUUUACAUAUUAGGGUCCAGAGUUAGUGAGUUUAUGAGUCCAUACCCCAGAAAAGAAACCACUAGCAGUGCAAGGACAAAUGAGUGUGCAGAGCCUGUGGGGACCAGGCCCAGAAUGUGACAAAUUCACAAAAUGAAUGCCAUCCUGCCAUGAGAUCCCCAGUGGGUUUGGGGCAGGAAAUCGGAACACUGCCAUGGGACAAGUUGGUCCCUCUUCCUUUUAGUUAAAUGCACACAAUUACAUACCCCACAAUCUCUGAUAGUCCAUGAUUUCCCAAAACAUUUUUUUUUUAAUUGCAGAAAAUAAAAGCCUAAGGUCAUACAGUUAACCUAUAAAGAACUCAUUACACCACCUUUUAGUGCUCCCUUACAAAGAGAUUCCCCUGAAUAUAUCGAGUCAGGACAUGCCUUAUUUGUACCUCUUCAUGCCAUCCUGCACUUUCGAUAUGGAUUAUAAAAUCUUCUGUGCUUUUAUUUUUUUAACUUCAAAGUCACUAAAACUAAAAGCUCUGCUCCCUUCUCUUUAAAGUUACGCAUUUAUAAACAAGCCACCAUUAGAAAUAAAAUAUUCUAAAUGCUACUUCAAAUAGUUGGUCCAUGUUUUAGCAAAACAGGGCAGUUCCACUUAAUCCAGUUUCCUUUGAAGACAAAGUGCUUUCAAAUUCGAUCUUUAAAAAUGGGUCACCUGCAACUGUGUCGAUUUUCUAAUUUAUUCAUUGCCUUAACCUGGACAUGCCCAGGCACCCCAGGCAACCUGUUCACAGACAGUCCCUGCUGGAGUUUAAAUUAGGGGGAAAAGCACCCUGAAUGAUUUUUAGAAAACAGAGCCAAAUCCCAGGAUGGCAUUACAGCAGAGGGUUUAAGAGCAGCCUGAGAUUGGAAGCAUAUAAAGACCAGAAUCCCAGAUCUGCUACAGAAGGACUAUUGCCCUUGGCAAGUUGUCUAACUCCUCUGAAUCUCAGUUUCUUUUCUCAUCUGUAGGCUGAAACAAUUUUAUUUUUUAGUUUUUAAUGAUUUUUAUUUUAUCCAUUAUAGUUGAGACAAACAAUUUUAAAAGCUAACAUUCAAGUAAUUAUUAGUUCCAGACAUUUUUAUUUAAUGGCCACACCCAUGACAUAUGGACGUUCCUGGGCCAGAGAUUGAAUCCGAGCCACAGCUGUGACCUACACCACAGCUAUGGCAAUGUCAGAUCCUUUAAUCCACUGCACCAGGCCGGGGAUUGAACCUGAGCCUCUGUAAGCCCCAAGCUGCUGCAAUCAGGUUCUUAAUCCACUGAGCCAUAGUGGGAACUCCCCAGACAUUAUUCUGAUUAGCAAGUUCAGCCUCACCACUUUAUAAAGAAGGUGGUUUAUUUCUGCCAUUUUAUAGCUGGAGAACUUGAAGUUCAGUGAGAUUAAAAGACUUGGCAAGGCCACCCAGCUAGUCAACAAUGGAGCUGGGAUUGGAACCCAAGCUGUCUGACCCUGACUUGCUUCUGUAAUUAUUUUACCUAAUACCACCCAGACUGGAUAAUAUAAUUGAAUGAGGUGAUACAUAUAAAGCACACUGUCUAGCAUGCAUUAAAUACUUAGAAAUUACAGGUGUUAUUUUAAUUUUUAAUUAUUAGUUUAUUUUGCUGAGCUAAAAAACAAAUGUAAGCCCUUACUCCUGGUAAACUCAUAAAUUUCCUGUUUAUGGAGUGAUUACUUAGAAUACUCUAAUAGCAGCAGCAAUAAUGCCAUAAUAGUAACAGCAGUUCAGAGUAUGGCUCCAAGCUCAGGUCUGGGUUCCAAAUCCAGUGUCAGAGACUGAGUGCUUGUGUUCCCCAAAUUUGCGUGUUGAAGUCCUAGCCUCCAACACGGUGGUAUCUGGAGCAGGGGGCCUUUGGGAGAUAAUCAGGUUAGGCUGAGGUCAUGAGGGUGGGGCCCUUGUGAUGAGAACAGUGCCCUUACAAGAAGAGAAAGACUGCAAUUUCUCCCUUCUGCACACACACUGAGGACAGCAGUGUGAGGACCCAGCAGAAGGUGGCUGUCUGCAAGGCAGGAAGCGGCUGUCACUGGGAACCCAUCUGCCAGCACCUUGAUCCUGGAUGUCCCAGUUUCAGAACUGUGAGACACCAAUGCCUGGUGUUUAAGCCACCCAGUCUGCGAUGUUUGCUGUAGCAGCUUGGGCUGACAAAAACACCAAGUCUGCUGCUUAUUGACUGGUGAGAACACAGGCAAGUUGCUUAAUCUCUCCAAGCCUCAUCCACACAGAGCCCCCUACUUCAUAAGAGUGUGGUGAGAAUUACAGAAAAUGAAAUAUCAAAAGCACUUAGCACAGUGCCUGGCAGAGAGUAUGAAUCUCUAAAUAUCAGUUAUUAUUUUGGGUAUGGCUGCUUCUCUCAUAGACUCCAAACCCUCUUAGGAGAGGCUGCUUAGCCAUCUCCAUGACGUUUCCUCUUACACACCUGUGUGUUCACCAUCACAGCCCAGCAGUGCCAACACAGAUACACAGCAGCCACACGGGCUUUUCAGUUUUGCCAUUGUUCUUCCCAUAUCCUUUUUUGGCAACCUUUCUUUUUUAUUGUGAUUUUUAUUUUUUCCAUUAGAGUUGAUUUACGGUGUUCUGUCAGUUUCUACUGUACAGCAAAGUGACCCAGUCAUUCAUAUAUUCUUUUUCUCACAUUAUCCUCCAUCAUGUUCCAUUACAAAUGACUGGAUAUAGUUCCCUGUGCUAUACAGCAGGAUCUCAUUGCUUAUCCACUCCAAAUGCAAUAGUUUGCAUCUGUUAACUCCAGACUCUCAGUCCACCCCACUCCUUCACCCUCCCCAUUGGCAAUCACAAGUCUGAUCUCCAAAUCCAUGAGUUUCUUUUCUGUGGAAAGGUUCAUUUGCGCCAUAUGUUAGAUUCCAGAUAUGAGUGAUAUAUGGUAUUUGUCUUUCUCUUUCUGACUUACUUCACUUGUAGGAGAGUUUCUAGUUCCAUCCAUGUUGCUGUAAAUGGCAUUAUUUUGUUCUUUUUUAUGGCAGUAGUAUUCCAUUGUGCAUAUUUACCACAUCUUAAUCCACUCUUCUGCCGGUGGAUAUUUACACUGUUUCUAUGUCUUGGCUAUUGCAUUAGUGCUGCAAUGAACAUAGGGCUGAAUGUAUCUUUUUCAAGGGAAGUUUUGUCCA
This 4815-nucleotide long non-coding RNA is filed under the name Sus scrofa (pig). RNAcentral describes it as "lncRNA (ENSSSCG00015004398.1)". The record is from RNAcentral. Lineage: Eukaryota; Metazoa; Chordata; Mammalia; Artiodactyla; Suidae.